AUCGCUUCUCGGCCUUUUGGCUAAGAUCAAGUGUAGUAUCUGUUCUUAUCAGUUUAAAAUGAGAAUCUUUUCCUGCCAAGGGCCAUUUAGAUAUUUAUAACAACAUUCGAGGAACCUAC
Molecule: small nuclear RNA, 119 nt
Filed under: Myotis brandtii (Brandt's bat)
Lineage: Eukaryota; Metazoa; Chordata; Mammalia; Chiroptera; Vespertilionidae
Description: U2 spliceosomal RNA
Rfam family: U2 spliceosomal RNA
About the family: U2 is a small nuclear RNA (snRNA) component of the spliceosome (involved in pre-mRNA splicing). Complementary binding between U2 snRNA (in an area lying towards the 5' end but 3' to hairpin I) and the branchpoint sequence (BPS) of the intron results the bulging out of an unpaired adenosine, on the BPS, which initiates a nucleophilic attack at the intronic 5' splice site, thus starting the first of two transesterification reactions that mediate splicing.
Source: Rfam by way of RNAcentral